CGCUGAAACACAGGUUCCUGUAGGAUUAGUGAAGUUAAGCAACGUCGAGCCUUGCCAGUACCUAGAUGGGUGACCGGUUGGGAAUUCCAGAUGCUGUAAG
Molecule: non-coding RNA, 100 nt
Organism: Acanthosepion pharaonis
Lineage: Eukaryota; Metazoa; Mollusca; Cephalopoda; Sepiida; Sepiidae
Source: the annotation of a GenBank genome assembly